This 482-nucleotide ribosomal RNA is filed under the name uncultured bacterium. RNAcentral's name for it is "partial 16S ribosomal RNA". It matches the Rfam family "Bacterial small subunit ribosomal RNA", at positions 30 to 507 of the family's 1533-position model. The record is from RNAcentral.
AUUGAACGCUGGCGGCAUGCUUUACACAUGCGAGUCGAACGGUAACAGGCCGCAAGGUGCUGACGAGUGGCGAACGGGUGAGUAAUGCAUCGGAACGUGCCCAGUCGUGGGGGAUAACUACUCGAAAGAGUAGCUAAUACCGCAUACGAUCUAUGGAUGAAAGCGGGGGACCGUAAGGCCUCGCGCGAUUGGAGCGGCCGAUGUCAGAUUAGGUAGUUGGUGGGGUAAAGGCUCACCAAGCCAACGAUCUGUAGCUGGUCUGAGAGGACAACCAGCCACACUGGGACUGAGACACGGCCCAGACUCCUACGGGAGGAAGCAGUGGGGAAUUUUGGACAAUGGGCGCAUGCCUGAUCCAGCAAUGCCGCGUGCAGGAAGAAGGCCUUCGGGUUGUAAACUGCUUUUGUACGGAACGAAACAGCUCUGGUUAAUACCCGGGGCUAAUGACGGUACCGUAAGAAUAAGCACCGGCUAACUACGUG